This is an RNA transcript of Ornithodoros turicata, 1433 nucleotides long. RefSeq lists it as uncharacterized. Lineage: Eukaryota; Metazoa; Arthropoda; Arachnida; Ixodida; Argasidae. The transcript is spliced from 3 exons. The record is from RefSeq and is a predicted model, not a curated record.
AUAUCUAUUUUCAUCCUGCAGUCAGGCUUUCUUUCCCAGCGGCUCAGGGAACAGCGCGAGUCUUAUCUCAUUCAUAAAUUCCAGUGUCAGAUAAACGAAGAUCCAGGAAUCCUUUCUACUAUUCGCAACCUGCAUUCCUAAUCCAGCACAAUACAUACACUCUUUUGUCUCUUUUUCAGGCUCACGGGUAUUUCCUCAAGGUCCUGCUGCACAGACCCGGUCAUUCCCCUUUCACUUAGUCACCAACCUAUGUUAGUCAUGACAAAAGCGCAUGCGCUGCUCUCUUUCCCUUGUACAUAACCCUCUCCCAUAUAUAAAGCUUGUUCUUGUCACCAAACCCCAGUCCCGUCGAAGGCAGCGCUGACUGCCGAAACGUCGACCCCUAUCCCUAUAUGUGUUAAUAAACUCCCCUUUGUGUUUUCCUGUAAGCUCUUUGUCGUCUUCUGAUUUUUCCUGCUUAUUUCAUUCUCGUGGUCAACCGCCCUCCUAAGCUUCUAAUCUAUUUCUACGAUGACCACCGACAGAGGAGGACCGAAGAUGCCCAUCAGGAAGUACCCUUUUUAUGCUCCUGUUAUAGCUGUACUUGGUGACUCACAAACUAAAUAUCUCCGUUUCCACUUCGACCCCAGAUCCCGUACUGCCCCGACAAUGUUCGUGUCCAAGAGCGGAGGCCGAAUCGCAGACUUCAAAGAAGAGGUGGACCAGCUGCCCGCAAGUGUUCGUGUCGUGGUGUUGCACUGUGGGACGAAUGACAUGCCGGACACCGAUCCCGACAUGGCCAUCCGUCGCUAUGUGCAACUCAUCGACCACAUUCGCUCUCGGGGAAACAUCGAACUUGUGGCGACGCGAAUUCCAGUGCAAUCCCCGGGCAUUUGCGUUCAACCAACGACUGAUGACCCUGUGCCGAGGUGCCCGUGACCUGUAUUUCCUGGACCAUGGUUUCCACCGACAGCCCCCAACCAGAGUCCUUGCAGCUGACGGCCUCCACCCCAGUUUCGAAGGAGUCACCCAGAUCGCCCACCGACUGCGGUCCCUGGUACCCCGGCUGCUCCGUCGCCUACCCACACGUACAGCAAGCACUGGAACGCCGGACCCCGUAUGGCCGACACUCCAGGAGGCUGCAGCAUGGACACAAAGAACCACACGUGCCGAGAAAUCGUCACGAGCCAAGCAGCAGGAUUGACUAGCCGGCUCACGGGUAUUUCCUCAAGGUCCUGCUGCACAGACCCGGUCAUUCCCCUUUCACUUAGUCACCAACCUAUGUUAGUCAUGACAAAAGCGCAUGCGCUGCUCUCUUUCCCUUGUACAUAACCCUCUCCCAUAUAUAAAGCUUGUUCUUGUCACCAAACCCCAGUCCCGUCGAAGGCAGCGCUGACUGCCGAAACGUCGACCCCUAUCCCUAUAUGUGUUAAUAAACUCCCCUUUGUGUUUUC